GACGAACGCUGGCGGCGUGCUUAACACAUGCAAGUCGAACGAGACCUUCGGGUCUAGUGGCGCACGGGUGCGUAACGCGUGGGAAUCUGCCCUCUGGUACGGAAUAACUCAGGGAAACUUGAGCUAAUACCGUAUAAUGACUUCGGUCCAAAGAUUUAUCGCCUGAGGAUGAGCCCGCGUAGGAUUAGCUAGUUGGUGAGGUAAAAGCUCACCAAGGCGACGAUCCUUAGCUGGCUGAGAGGAUGAUCAGCCACACUGGGACUGAGACACGGCCCAGACUCCUACGGGAGGCAGCAGUGGGGAAUAUUGGACAAUGGGCGAAAGCCUGAUCCAGCAAUGCCGCGUGAGUGAUGAAGGCCUUAGGGUUGUAAAGCUCUUUUACCCGGGAUGAUAAUGACAGUACCGGAGAAUAAGCCCC
RNAcentral lists this ribosomal RNA (418 nucleotides) under uncultured bacterium. RNAcentral describes it as "bacterial SSU rRNA". It matches the Rfam family "Bacterial small subunit ribosomal RNA", at positions 28 to 494 of the family's 1533-position model. The record is from RNAcentral.